Felis catus (domestic cat) is the source of this 73-nucleotide transfer RNA. It matches the Rfam family "tRNA". Rfam says of the family: Transfer RNA (tRNA) molecules are approximately 80 nucleotides in length. Their secondary structure includes four short double-helical elements and three loops (D, anti-codon, and T loops). The record is from Rfam. Lineage: Eukaryota; Metazoa; Chordata; Mammalia; Carnivora; Felidae.
GCCUGGCUGGCUCAAUCAGUAGAGCAUGUUACUCUUAAUCUCAGAGUCAUGAGUUCAAGCCCCAUGUUGAGCU